UCAGAUUGCCAAUAAUUGUUCAACUUUUUAGAUUUAUUCUUGUUCAAAUUUAAUUUCCUUCGCUUACCUAAAUAGACGGAGAUAACAAGGAUUCGUAUCACAGCGAUUUGGAACACAAAUUGACAGAAUAAAGUAAAACGAAACAAAAACUUGUGAUGGGAAAGAACACAGAAGAAAAAAUACUAGAGAGAAUUGAGAGGAGAGAGAAAACAAUAAAAAUUUGAAAGAAAAUAGAAAACUAAAAGAUAUGACAACAUAUCCCCUAUUUUUCUCCCACUAACCCACUAACUCACAAAUAACUCAGAAUUUUAGCUCUAUCAAAGCUCUAUCAGACAACCAAGCAAAAAUUAACACCCAUGCUCAUGCAGGGAUUCGAACACAGAACUUUCAACACACCAACUCCUUGCCACUCGAAUCAGCAAGUUCAUUCCAAUAUUUGAAGUAACUUAGACCCGUGGUAAAGAAAAAACUUACUAAUGUAAACUUUAAGGCCCUUAAUGCAAUUGUUUGCAAAGUUAACCCUCAGUAAGCACAAUUGUUCAUGUUGGGGAUAUACCUGUAUAAGCAACGGACAAGAUAAAAUAAAGAAAAAUUGGGCACAAAUAUUUACGUGGAAAAACUCCUCAAAUCAAGAGGAUAAAAAACCACGAGCAAAGAAAGACUUCAUUAAAUGAGUAAAUAAUCUAAAAGAGUACAAAAUUGAGAUGAUCGAAAACAAACCCUAAACCUUGUAUAACAAAGCUCUCUAGCUAAAACAUGAAAUUCCUUUAAACCCUCUCAAAACUCUCUUAAUCUUUUCUCUAAAUUUUAAUGUGACGAAG
RNAcentral lists this long non-coding RNA (821 nucleotides) under Gossypium raimondii (Peruvian cotton). RNAcentral describes it as "long non-coding RNA (GRAI_LNC009627)". Lineage: Eukaryota; Viridiplantae; Streptophyta; Magnoliopsida; Malvales; Malvaceae. The record is from RNAcentral.